UGGCGGACGGGUGAGUAACACGUGAGCAACCUGCCUCUGAGAGAGGGAUAGCUUCUGGAAACGGAUGGUAAUACCUCAUAACAUAAUUGAAUGGCAUCAUUUAAUUAUCAAAGAUUUAUCACUCAGAGAUGGGCUCGCGUCUGAUUAGCUAGUUGGUAAGGUAACGGCUUACCAAGGCGACGAUCAGUAGCCGGACUGAGAGGUUGAACGGCCACAUUGGGACUGAGACACGGCCCAGACUCCUACGGGAGGCAGCAGUGGGGAAUAUUGCACAAUGGGGGAAACCCUGAUGCAGCGAUGCCGCGUGGAGGAAGAAGGUUUUCGGAUUGUAAACUCCUGUCUUCAGGGACGAUAAUGACGGUACCUGAGGAGGAAGCUCCGGCUAACUACGUGCCAGCAGCCGCGGUAAUACGUAGGGAGCAAGCGUUGUCCGGAAUUACUGGGUGUA
RNAcentral lists this ribosomal RNA (448 nucleotides) under uncultured bacterium. RNAcentral describes it as "bacterial SSU rRNA". It matches the Rfam family "Bacterial small subunit ribosomal RNA", at positions 96 to 562 of the family's 1533-position model. The record is from RNAcentral.